UGCCAUCAAGGCAUAUGUACGUAUACCUGCAAAACACAAUGGGCGAGCCGGCAAGGCUGCUAUAGACAACUAUACAUCCAAAACUGAAAACUGACAAGGCCACAUACAACCCAACUAGACAUACUGUCUACAGACCUCUAAUAGAAACAUAACUGUACAAAGACGGGACUGAGCCACGUCAUACCCAUAUAUAUAUACACACACACACACACACACAAAAGUAUCGUACCAAAAUCAAAAGCAACUCUGGAUCAAGUGGAACACUCCAACUCUCGCUAAUAAAGGAUCCUAAGAAGGGGGACCGUCAACUUGCCUACCCGCACCUACAGGCAUGAAAUACAGGCCCCGUGAAUUAGGGCGCCAGUACGAAAAAUGUACUGAGUAUGUAAGGCAUGAAAAUUAGUACGUAACAGACAUAUAUGAAACAUGGAAUAUAGAAACACAUCUUCAAAUCUGAAUAACUUUGUAAAUUCUAAAACAUUUAUAAUAUCAUGCACGUGCGAAUAAAUGUCAUGCCAUGCAUAGUUAUGGGUGUACAUUAUAUCAUCAAGCCACGGAGGGCAUCCCAUCAUAUCGUCUCGGCCACUGUGGGCAACAUCAUCAAUACCAGCUGAUCAGGUGGUGGUGCAUAUAUAACGCCGUAACCUUUUCCUAUAUCCCAUAUACAUAUAUUUACAUAUAUACGCAUAUAUAACGCCAUCUGGUAAUGGGUCAAUGCAUAUGUAUAAAUGGGUGAAAUGCAUGAAAAAUACGUAAUAAUCUCAAUUUUUCUUUCGGAUAAACUUUUUCAACUGUGUAUUAUUCUGAGACCCAUGAACAGAAGAUAAUAAAAAUUCUCAUAGGGAAUCAAGAAUAUAAACGCCUCUAAUAUCUCUAUGAAUAGAGUAAUUUAUGGAAAUUGUGUGUUUGCUCGUUUCUUCUAUAUAAGUCGGACCAUGCCAAAAGAAAGAAGGGAUGACCUUAACAUACCAGUUCCUGGAAUUAUUUGAACAGAAUAAAGCUUCUGCUUCUAUGAAAUAUGUUGAACGAAAUUCUGCUUGAAUCCCUUGUAAUUUUGAAACGAAGUUGUGGUUGCUUGUUUUGAAAUUUCAAUCGAAAUUUUGUCUAAGGAUUUGGACGAAAUGGUUUCUUGUUUCAACGUUCUUGGUUUCCAACCAAAAACAAAUUGUUGUUUUGAUCAUUUUUACAAGGAAGCGAUAUCAAUCUUCCUGGAUAAGG
Molecule: long non-coding RNA, 1218 nt
Filed under: Nicotiana tabacum (common tobacco)
Lineage: Eukaryota; Viridiplantae; Streptophyta; Magnoliopsida; Solanales; Solanaceae
Description: long non-coding RNA (NTAB_LNC004943)
Source: RNAcentral